This is a long non-coding RNA of Melitaea cinxia (Glanville fritillary), 98 nucleotides long. RefSeq lists it as uncharacterized. The transcript has 3 exons. The record is from RefSeq and is a predicted model, not a curated record. Lineage: Eukaryota; Metazoa; Arthropoda; Insecta; Lepidoptera; Nymphalidae.
GUUAGAGUUUUUUCAAUUGUUAAGAUUCGUUCGUCCGAUUCCCGCCUAUGGAUGUAAUUUAUGCAUUAAAAAGUAUUAUUUCAGACAACUGUUUACUU